AGAGUUUGAUCAUGGCUCAGGACAAACGCUGGCGGCGUGCAUAAAACAUGCAAGUCUGACGGGCAGCAGCAAUGUUGUCAGUGGCGGACGGCUGAGUAACACGUAAGCGACCUACCCCCGAGUGGGGAGUAACUGCUCGAAAGAGUGGCUAAUACCGCAUACGCUCGCCCGUUCAGUCGGACGAGUAAAGCAGCGAUGCGCUUGGGGAUGGGCUUGCGGCCGAUUAGCUAGUUGGGGGGGUAACGGCCCACCAAGGCGAUGAUCGGUAGCUGGUCUGAGAGGAUGAUCAGCCAGACUGGGACUGCGACACGGCCCAGACUCCUACGGGAGGCAGCAGUUAGGAAUUUUGCGCAAUGGACGAAAGUCUGACGCAGCAACGCCGCGUGGGGGACGAAGGUCUUCGGAUCGUAAACCCCUUUUCUGGGGGAAGAUGAUGACGGUACCCCGGGAAUAAGCCCCGGCUAACUACGUGCCAGCAGCCGCGGUAAUACGUAGGGGGCGAGCGUUGUCCGGAUUUACUGGGCGUAAAGAGCGCGUAGGCGGUUCCUCAAGUCGUGCGUGAAAUACCCCGGCUCAACCGGGGGGAGCCGUGCGAUACUGGGGGACUCGAGGCCGGAAGAGGGAAGUGGAAUUCCCGGUGUAGUGGUGGAAUGCGUAGAUAUCGGGAGGAACACCAGUGGCGAAGGCGGCUUCCUGGUCCGGUCCUGACGCUGAGUGCGCGAAAGCGUGGGGAGCGAACUGAAUUAGAUACUCAGGUAGUCCACGCCGUAAACUAUGGGUGCUAGGUGUCGGGGGUAUCGACCCCUCCGGUGCCGGAGCUAACGCAUUAAGCACCCCGCCUGGGGAGUACGGCCGCAAGGCUAAAACUCAAAGGAAUUGACGG
This 883-nucleotide ribosomal RNA is filed under the name uncultured bacterium. RNAcentral describes it as "bacterial SSU rRNA". It matches the Rfam family "Bacterial small subunit ribosomal RNA", at positions 8 to 916 of the family's 1533-position model. The record is from RNAcentral.